UAGGGAAUAUUAGAAAUGGACGCAAGUCUGAUCUAGCAACACCGCGUGUGCGAAGAAGGCCUUCGGGUUGUAAAGCACUUUUUGGAAGGAUUAGGAAGGAAUGUACUUCCAGAAUAAGUCUCGGCUAACUACGUGCCAGCAGCCGCGGCAACACGUAGGAGGCAAACGUUGUCCGGAUUUACUGGGCGUAAAGCGCGUGUAGGUGGUUCUGUAAGUAGGGCGUGAAAGCUCCUGGCUCAACCGGGAGAGGCCGUUCUAAACUGCAGAGCUAGAGGAUGGUAGAGGGAGGUGGAAUUCCGGGUGUAGCGGUGGAAUGCGCAGAUAUCCGGAGGAACACCAGUGGCGAAAGCGGCCUCCUGGACCAUUCCUGACACUCAGACGCGAAAGCUAGGGUAGCAAACGG
This 403-nucleotide ribosomal RNA is filed under the name uncultured bacterium. Its description in RNAcentral is "bacterial SSU rRNA". It matches the Rfam family "Bacterial small subunit ribosomal RNA", at positions 355 to 775 of the family's 1533-position model. The record is from RNAcentral.